GACGAACGCUGGCGGCGUGCCUAAUACAUGCAAGUAGAACGCUGAAGAGAGGAGCUUGCUCUUCCUGGAUGAGUUGCGAACGGGUGAGUAACGCGUAGGUAACCUGCCUGGUAGCGGGGGAUAACUAUUGGAAACGAUAGCUAAUACCGCAUAAGAGUAGAUGUUGCAUGACAUUUGCUUAAAAGGUGCAAUUGCAUCACUACCAGAUGGACCUGCGUUGUAUUAGCUAGUUGGUGAGGUAACGGCUCACCAAGGCGACGAUACAUAGCCGACCUGAGAGGGUGAUCGGCCACACUGGGACUGAGACACGGCCCAGACUCCUACGGGAGGCAGCAGUAGGGAAUCUUCGGCAAUGGACGGAAGUCUGACCGAGCAACGCCGCGUGAGUGAAGAAGGUUUUCGGAUCGUAAAGCUCUGUUGUAAGAGAAGAACGAGUGUGAGAGUGGAAAGUUCACACUGUGACGGUAUCUUACCAGAAAGGGACGGCUAACUACGUGCCAGCAGCCGCGGUAAUACGUAGGUCCCGAGCGUUGUCCGGAUUUAUUGGGCGUAAAGCGAGCGCAGGCGGUUAGAUAAGUCUGAAGUUAAAGGCUGUGGCUUAACCAUAGUACGCUUUGGAAACUGUUUAACUUGAGUGCAAGAGGGGAGAGUGGAAUUCCAUGUGUAGCGGUGAAAUGCGUAGAUAUAUGGAGGAACACCGGUGGCGAAAGCGGCUCUCUGGCUUGUAACUGACGCUGAGGCUCGAAAGCGUGGGGAGCAAACAGG
Molecule: ribosomal RNA, 765 nt
Filed under: uncultured Streptococcus sp.
Lineage: Bacteria; Bacillati; Bacillota; Bacilli; Lactobacillales; Streptococcaceae
Description: bacterial SSU rRNA
Rfam family: Bacterial small subunit ribosomal RNA
Source: RNAcentral